GAUCUAUAUGCUCCAAAAGGAUAUCUCAAAUGGUUUCUUUUCUCAAACAAUUCCUGACUUAUAUGAAAUUACAUAAUACAUUUUUGCUUUACUUGAUUAUGUUCUCGGUUUUUUUUUUGUUGUUGUUUGAGGUCCAAGUCCAUUGGAUGUUGGUAACAAUUAAAAAAGACAAAGGUGUAAGAAGAGUUGUUGGACUUGGAAGGGUUAUGUGAGGAAAGGUGGAGUUUGUACCAUGAAUAAAGAUGAUUUAGUUAACCAAAUAACGUGCUUAGAUGGUGGAGUUUGUUUAUGGAAUUUAAUAUGGUUGAGAACUAAAUAUAGGAGCUGCAAAUUUUAUUUCGUUGAAUGAAGGUUCUGAAACAUUAGCAUUUAAACAAUACAUCUGAUUUAUCUACCAGUUGUUUUCUGCUAUUUGCAGCUCUGUUUUGUCCUCAACUCUUCUAAUUUGUUUAGCUCUCAUUUUUACAGGGCUUUCCGUGUAGUAAGUUUCAUCAUGAUGCAUUCUUUUCCUUUCGGGCUUGGAUUUUUCUCCUCUCGGACUAAAUGAGACCACUUGCUCAUAAUCAAGUGUGAUCUUCAUCCUAGAUAUUUGGGACAACUUGACAUAAAAUUAAUGGCCGAGUUGCCUUUUAACAUGUACAAGUCUUUUCUAAGCAUUGAAGUGGAACUUAUGGAAGUGGUAUGAUAACACAAUGUGAAAUCAGAAGUAUAUUAGAAUUGGUGCAGGAGUCAUGUGUGAUAUGUCAAUUCGAUGUGUUUGUAGAAGCUUUAUAAUGGUGUGGGACUUAACAAACGAUCUUCAGAACAAAUGGCAAUGAUGACAACGUCGCAGUAUAAGGUGCAAAGGAGAUAGAGCAGAAACAGAUUGAUGGGCAACUAGGGAUUCUGCUAUUUGAUUUCCAACAAGCGAAUAUUGUGAUUUGUGAUGGAAGAAUUGAAAGUGGAGUUGGAGAGAAUAGCAGGUUAUGAAACACAAUAUGGUGAUAUCCAAGAAAAAUUUGAUAACAUGAAGAGUUACUUAGAGACUAUAUCAGUGCAGCUUGAUGAUUUCUUUAAUGAAAUAGUAGAAGGAAUGUAGAAGUUUCUGGUCAUGUGCUAUCAUAGGUAGAAAAAAAUUUAGAUAUAGAGAAAAGGAACUAGAAAAAAAAUGUUAAAAAAAGCACUGUCAUCUUGGUUAACGCUUUGGGUCUCAAAUUGUACAGGCUACAAGAGUUAGGCUAGAUACUAUUUUGGUGCAAAGUACUGCAAAAUCUGUGGGAUUCUUGAUUAUAGGCAUGUAUAUAAAUUAUAAUUUUAGGGACAAGUAUAAUUUUUAAUUACAUUUGAAUUAUUAUUGAAUAAGAUCAAAUUUUAACAUAA
This is a long non-coding RNA of Lotus japonicus, 1359 nucleotides long. RefSeq lists it as uncharacterized. The transcript is spliced from 3 exons. The record is from RefSeq and is a predicted model, not a curated record. Lineage: Eukaryota; Viridiplantae; Streptophyta; Magnoliopsida; Fabales; Fabaceae.